This 463-nucleotide ribosomal RNA is filed under the name uncultured bacterium. Its description in RNAcentral is "partial 16S ribosomal RNA". It matches the Rfam family "Bacterial small subunit ribosomal RNA", at positions 28 to 506 of the family's 1533-position model. The record is from RNAcentral.
GACGAACGCUGGCGGCGUGCUUAACACAUGCAAGUCGAACGGUAAGGCCCCAGCUUGCUGGGGUACACGAGUGGCGAACGGGUGAGUAACACGUGGGUGACCUGCCCCGCACUUCGGGAUAAGCCUGGGAAACUGGGUCUAAUACCGGAUAGGACCGCACCGUGAGGGUGUGGUGGAAAGUUUUUCGGUGUGGGAUGGGCCCGCGGCCUAUCAGCUUGUUGGUGGGGUAAUGGCCUACCAAGGCGGCGACGGGUAGCCGGCCUGAGAGGGUGGACGGCCACAUUGGGACUGAGACACGGCCCAGACUCCUACGGGAGGCAGCAGUGGGGAAUAUUGCACAAUGGGCGGAAGCCUGAUGCAGCGACGCCGCGUGGGUGAUGACGGCCUUCGGGUUGUAAACUCCUUUCACCAUCGACGAAGGUUUUCUGACGGUAGAUGGAGAAGAAGCACCGGCGAACUACGU